Molecule: long non-coding RNA, 1437 nt
Filed under: Oryctolagus cuniculus (rabbit)
Lineage: Eukaryota; Metazoa; Chordata; Mammalia; Lagomorpha; Leporidae
Description: lncRNA (ENSOCUG00000032251.1)
Source: RNAcentral
GUUUGAGUGUGCAUGCCGAGGGAAGCUGAGAAAUGAAGCUUAGCUCCUGGGUCUGUGGACUGAAGGGGGAAGAGGAUAGGGUGACAAGAAUUGGGUUUCUUAGCAAAAACCUGGCGUUCUGUUUUGGACACCAAGUUUGAGGUGAGUAUUAGAUAUUUCAAGGAAGAUUCUAAGUAGACAGCUGCAUAUGGCUGGUCUCCCUGGAACAAGAGGAGCUUCUAGAGGCUGUGGGGGUGGGAGUGGGAGUGCUGAAUCCCUCCUCUCCCUGGACAGAAGCCUUCCAGCUGUCAAGUGGUAGAAGCGGAGCAAUUUCCCCCCUAGAGCCUUGGCCUCUCUGGGCUGCAGCCUGGCAGCUUCUGAGCAGGACUCCCAGGAGUCACGGUUUCCCACUGCUCAGGGAGAGUACUCACAAGGUCAUUAUGGGGCAACAAUGGGCACUUAGAACACUCCUCUGGGGACCCGCAGAACAAGAGAAGGAGGGCAGUCAGAACCCCUGCUCCGAGUAGCCGGCUCUGCUUGAGACAGAGAAGAACUCCUAUUAUACUACCUACGAAACUAGAGCGCCAGGCGGUUGUCAUGCGUGCUUUCUGUCCUGUUUUCCAAGUUAGAAAGUUCAGUAGCUGAUUAAAGGAGAUGGUAAUUAUUGAGAAGAAAAUUAGCAGCUUACGAGAUUCAGUGGAAGAAGUAUCUCAAACAGGGAGCAAAAAAAAUAAAGAGCUGGAAAUUGAGGAGAAAUGAGCCAUUUGGAGAACAGAACAAAUGUAUGGGGGCCACAACAACUCAUCAAAUAGCACAUGCCUUUCCCAUAAGCGCUGGUGCUUUGUAUGUCCUGAGGAUGAUACGACUGCUGGCCGGGCAGAACCGACGCACUCCGCAGCCCCAGAGUCACAGAGUUCAUCUGCAACCUCUGAUUCUAUUCUCCUGGAAAAUAACGCUGCAGUGAAAGAAAACCACCCUACAAGAGCCCCUGCUUUGGCCCGGAGGCAGCUGCCCAGCUGUGCACAGCAAAGCCGAGCCAGGAAAUCGCUCGUCUUCUGGCUGCUCAGUGAUGGAGAACGCGCUGGGGGAAGGUUAGCCCAGGAACAUCAUCAUUUGCAUCAGCAGACAGCAGGCUGUCCUGCAGCUGUGUCAGAGAGCCCUCGAAGCCAGCCUGGGAUGGCUCUGCCACGUGCUCCCCCCUACAAAGCACAGCACACACAGGGAGAACCUCAGGACAGCGACAGGACAGCGAGAGAACUGGGGAUCCUGAAGAUGGCAGCUCCCCGCACAGAAGAGACUGGACAGACAUUCCCAAGUGUAUCUGAACAGGGGUCCACACUCUGGCCUAGGAUCAGCCCGGUGGUUCAUCCGGACACCGUCUUCCGCAGGAAGCCUGCAGCUCCUCCCUCCCUUCCCCUGUGGAGAGGAACUCUCUGUGCUCCGUGGUGGUCCCAGUAA